UCCCUGGUGGUCCAGUGGUUAAGAUUCUGAGCUCCCACUGCAGAGGGCCUGGGUUCAAUCCUUGGCCAGGGAA
RNAcentral lists this transfer RNA (73 nucleotides) under Bos taurus (domestic cattle). It matches the Rfam family "tRNA". From Rfam's summary of the family: Transfer RNA (tRNA) molecules are approximately 80 nucleotides in length. Their secondary structure includes four short double-helical elements and three loops (D, anti-codon, and T loops). The record is from Rfam by way of RNAcentral. Lineage: Eukaryota; Metazoa; Chordata; Mammalia; Artiodactyla; Bovidae. RNAcentral also lists the same sequence under 3 other names.